UACGGAGGGUGCAAGCGUUAUCCGGAUUCACUGGGUUUAAAGGGUGCGUAGGCGGUCUUUUAAGUCAGUGCUGAAAUAUCCCGGCUUAACCGGGAGGGUGGCAUUGAUACUGAAGGACUUGAGUAAAGUUGAGGUAGGCGGAAUUGACGGUGUAGCGGUGAAAUGCUUAGAUAUCGUCAAGAACACCGAUAGUGUAGACAGCUUACUAAGCUUUAACUGACGCUGAGGCACGAAAGUGUGGGGAUCAAACAGG
This 253-nucleotide ribosomal RNA is filed under the name uncultured bacterium. RNAcentral's name for it is "partial 16S ribosomal RNA". It matches the Rfam family "Bacterial small subunit ribosomal RNA", at positions 524 to 776 of the family's 1533-position model. The record is from RNAcentral.